UAACAUCAUGUAAAAUACCAGAUAUGAUAAUCAAAUAUUGAAUAAUAUGUUUCAGUUCGCUUUAUCAAAUGUCAUGGAUGAUUUAAAAAUUUAUUUUAGUAAAAAAUACAUUUCAUCAAGCAGAUUAUCCAAAGUGCUAAGUUGUAAUCGUUUAGAUAUCAUUUUCGUCUUCAUCAGUUAUAUAAUGACUUGAAUUAACGUUGUCAUUGUAUAUCGGAAAGUGAGUCAGCGUCCAAUAAAUAGCAACACAUGAACCAGAUGCCAGUCACGCAUAAUUAUCUCCAUUUAUGGAUCUGUAAGACAUCCGAAGGUGAGACAAGGUAAUUAAUUUUACAUGAACUGAAAGGCGAUCGAUUUUCCGGUUUAGAGAUUGAUACAAAAUACACAAUAAGUCAGAUAUUAUAAUUUUAAUUAACACUAAGUACUUGUCGCACUUCUCCAUUUUGCAAAGUGCAAUUAAAUUCAAGUGAUCUAUAUUUUAUUUCAUGACAGUAUUACCCAUAUCCAAGAACCAGCUCUUUAGAUUAUUUUCCACGGGUAAUCGUAUCUUGUUUGCUGUGACCGAUUUUAUAUAUUUUUCUGCAGCAGAAAUGAGAUACUCGACCUCAGAGAUAAAGGUACACCUUAUCAUUUGCGAUAAGGUGUUUUUGCACGAACACUCGCUUCGAUUCUCAUUCGAUUGGAGGACAAUUCUUUUAUUAAUAAGUCUAUUUUUUGAUACAUGAAAAUCCAAUUCAGAUUUAUUUAGAAGACUCCAGACACUAAAGAAGGUCGAAACGGUUAAUAAAAUGAACUAUUUAUUGUGAUAUAAAAGUAGAAUAUAAUUUCAACUGUUUAUGGUAUACAAAUAUCUCUUCAGAGUAUAUAAAUACUCUUAUUGUACUGUUCAACUGUGUAUUCACGUCUUAAUCUAGAAUAAGCCUUAAUUAACUAGCACAGAUGUUGUUAAUAGAAGAGAUUCAUAACAAUUCUGCACAAGCUUCGCUUGUGCGUAUACAACAGUUUUUCGCGCGUUACAAUUUUCUUCUGGCUGUUAACUUGACGUACAAAAAAAAA
This is a non-coding RNA of Osmia lignaria (orchard mason bee), 1056 nucleotides long. The record is from RefSeq and is a predicted model, not a curated record. Lineage: Eukaryota; Metazoa; Arthropoda; Insecta; Hymenoptera; Megachilidae.